ACAUAGGGGCCAAGCGUUAUCCGGAUUUAUUGGGCGUAAAGCGCGCGUAGGUGGUCGGUUAAGUCGGGUGUUAAAACUGGAAGCUCAACUUCCAUACGCGCCCGAAACUGAUCGGCUUCGAGGUUGGAAGAGGGAAGUGGAACUCACAGUGUAGCGGUGAAAUGCGUAGAUAUUGUGAGGAACACCAGUGGCGAAGGCGACUUCCUGGUCCAAAUCUGACGCUAAAGCGCGAAAGCAUGGGGAGCAAACAG
This 251-nucleotide ribosomal RNA is filed under the name uncultured prokaryote. RNAcentral's name for it is "partial 16S rRNA". It matches the Rfam family "Bacterial small subunit ribosomal RNA", at positions 525 to 775 of the family's 1533-position model. The record is from RNAcentral.